GGGACGGGGGGGGCAAGUGUUCUUCGGAAUGACUGGGCGGUAAAGGGCACGUAGGACGGUGAAUCGGGUUGAAAGUGAAAGUCGCCAAAAAGUGGCGGAAUGCUCUCGAAACCAAUUCACUUGAGUGAGACAGAGGAGAGGUGGAAUUUCGUGUGUAGGGGUGAAAUCCGUAGAAUCUACGGAAGGAACGCCAAAAGGCCGAACGGCGAGCUCUCAUGGGUCCCUACCGGACGCUGGGGUGCGAAAGCAUGGGGAGCGAACAGG
RNAcentral lists this ribosomal RNA (264 nucleotides) under uncultured bacterium. RNAcentral's name for it is "partial 16S ribosomal RNA". It matches the Rfam family "Bacterial small subunit ribosomal RNA", at positions 522 to 776 of the family's 1533-position model. The record is from RNAcentral.